This 253-nucleotide ribosomal RNA is filed under the name uncultured bacterium. Its description in RNAcentral is "partial 16S ribosomal RNA". It matches the Rfam family "Bacterial small subunit ribosomal RNA", at positions 524 to 776 of the family's 1533-position model. The record is from RNAcentral.
UACGAAGGGUGCUAGCGUUGUUCGGAAUCACUGGGCGUAAAGCGCGCGUAGGCGGCUUUACAAGUCAGAGGUGAAAUCCCCAAGCUUAACUUGGGAACUGCCUUUGAAACUGUAAAGCUGGAGUGUCGGAGGGGAUAGUGGAAUUGCUAAUGUAGCGGUGAAAUGCGUAGAUAUUAGCAGGAACACCGGUGGCGAAGGCGGCUAUCUGGACGGCAACUGACGCUGAGGCGCGAAAGCGUGGGGAUCAAACAGG